AAUAUGUUGAGAAUAUUCCUUUAAAAUUUUAAAACGAUCCGAGUCAUAUUCUAAGAGAUAUAGCCUUUGGAUGUUUCACCCAUCAGGCUAUAACCGAGCAUGACGCAGGUAUAUGGAGGCAGGUAUAUCGAGGCAGCUGCUUAGCUAUUGUUCGUUUAUUUUUGUGAUGCGAAUACUAGGCUUGGGACUUGCCGGAUGUAAAAAAUUCUGUGGUUUGAUGGAUAUAAGUUCCACAUUCUUGAAUGCAUCAACGUACAAUUUUUUUGUUGAUAAAAUACAUGAGUGCGUCAUAACUGUUGCCGAAUCAAUUUUGUUGUCUGCUGCAAAUCAAGAAAAAAAAUUAACGUCUGAUGAAAAUAAUGUUGAAGAUACGACAGAUGUUACCGUGUCAGGUGAUGGCACGUGGAAAAAACGUGGGUUUGCGUCAUUAUACGGUAUGAAUCUGUCAUGAGUUAUCCUGACUACGCCGAGAGAACUUUUUUUUGAGGGGUCAUAGCAGACGACGUGUCCACGCCUUAAUUUUCAAUAUUUUUCAAUGAAAAUUUCACAAACUACUUAUAAAAUAUGUAUCUUUUAUGUGUUAAAUUGAUGGAAUGAAAUAUUCUGUUGAUUAAGUAAAAAAAAAUUCAUAAAAAUGUA
RNAcentral lists this long non-coding RNA (639 nucleotides) under Neodiprion lecontei (redheaded pine sawfly). RNAcentral describes it as "uncharacterized LOC124295492". The record is from RNAcentral. Lineage: Eukaryota; Metazoa; Arthropoda; Insecta; Hymenoptera; Diprionidae.